RNAcentral lists this ribosomal RNA (228 nucleotides) under uncultured bacterium. RNAcentral's name for it is "partial 16S ribosomal RNA". It matches the Rfam family "Bacterial small subunit ribosomal RNA", at positions 103 to 334 of the family's 1533-position model. The record is from RNAcentral.
CGGGUGAGUAAUGUAUGGGGAUCUGCCUGAUGGCGGGGGAUAACUACUGGAAACGGUAGCUAAUACCGCAUAAUGUCUGCGGACCAAAGAGGGGGACCUUCGGGCCUCUUGCCAUCGGAUGUGCCCAGAUGGGAUUAGCUAGUAGGUGGGGUAACGGCUCACCUAGGCGACGAUCCCUAGCUGGUCUGAGAGGAUGACCAGCCACACUGGAACUGAGACACGGCCCAG